Molecule: ribosomal RNA, 397 nt
Filed under: uncultured bacterium
Lineage: Bacteria
Description: partial 16S ribosomal RNA
Rfam family: Bacterial small subunit ribosomal RNA
Source: RNAcentral
AUACGUAGGUGGCAAGCGUUGUCCGGAAUUAUUGGGCGUAAAGCGCGCGCAGGUGGUUCCUUAAGUCUGAUGUGAAAGCCCCCGGCUCAACCGGGGAGGGUCAUUGGAAACUGGGGAACUUGAGUGCAGAAGAGGAUAGUGGAAUUCCAAGUGUAGCGGUGAAAUGCGUAGAGUUUUGGAGGAACACCAGUGGCGAAGGCGACUGUCUGGUCUGUAACUGACACUGAGGCGCGAAAGCGUGGGGAGCAAACAGGAUUAGAUACCCUGGUAGUCCACGCCGUAAACGAUGAGUGCUAAGUGUUGGGGGGUUUCCGCCCCUCAGUGCUGCAGCUAACGCAUUAAGCACUCCGCCUGGGGAGUACGGUCGCAAGACUGAAACUCAAAUGAAUUGACGGGG